Molecule: long non-coding RNA, 481 nt
Organism: Oreochromis aureus
Lineage: Eukaryota; Metazoa; Chordata; Actinopteri; Cichliformes; Cichlidae
Exons: 3
Source: RefSeq, a predicted model, not a curated record
GCAAGAGGAGAGACCCGAAGCGGCCGCCGGUCCGCGUGUCAGGUGAACUGAACUUCAGGAAUGAUCUGCAGGAGAGCGCACCAAACCAGCAUCCAGACAUUAGACAAGGAGGAACAAAUUCCUGUAUUACUCAAGGACCUGUGAACAUGUUAGCAAUACCUCAGACCCCAUGGCCUGCUUUGUUGAAAGAGGGGAUCCGAUUUCCCGAGGCUUUGAUGUCUCCUCCUCUCAAGCUUCCACCCUCCUUUCUGUUGAGGCGCCCACUUGUUCACCCACACACAUAAACAUGAACACACACUCACUCACUCACAUGCUUGUGCCUUAUGCUUAUGUGAAACCCGACACAAGGCUGCAUCUGGUGCGUGAAGCUGGCCGUGAGCCCGAAAACCUCAUCGAAUGACUUCAUGUAUGAAGCAGUCGAGAUGAAAUAUAGCAGACAGGAAACUUAAAACUGACGACGCCAUUGGCUUUGAGUCCAGAA